GGGCUGUGGCUCAGUGGUAGAGCAUCUGCUUCACAUGCAGAAGCCCCCAGGUUCAAUCCCUGGCAUGCCCA
Non-coding RNA from Rhineura floridana, 71 nucleotides. The record is from the annotation of a RefSeq genome assembly. Lineage: Eukaryota; Metazoa; Chordata; Lepidosauria; Squamata; Rhineuridae.